This 437-nucleotide ribosomal RNA is filed under the name uncultured archaeon. Its description in RNAcentral is "bacterial SSU rRNA". It matches the Rfam family "Archaeal small subunit ribosomal RNA", at positions 474 to 903 of the family's 1478-position model. The record is from RNAcentral.
UACCAGCUCUCCGAGUGGUAGGGAUGAUUAUUGGGCUUAAAGCGUCCGUAGCCGGCUUAGCAAGUCUCCUGUUAAAUUCAGCGACCUAAUCGUUGAGCCGCGGGAGAUACUACUAGGCUAGGAGGCGGGAGAGGUCAACGGUACUUCCGGGGUAGGGGUGAAAUCCUAUAAUCCCGGGAGGACCACCAGUGGCGAAGGCUGUUGACUAGAACGCGCUCGGACGGUGAGGGACGAAAGCGUGGGGGGAGCGAACCGGAUUAGAGUACCCGGGUAGUCCCAGCUGUAAACGAUGCGAGCUAGGUGGUUGGGGUGGCUACGUGCCACUUCAGUGCCGCAGGGAAGCCAUUAAGCUCGCCGCCUGGGGAGUACGGCCGCAAGGCUAGAAACUUAAAGGAAUUGGGCGGGGGAGCACCACAAGGCGUAGAAGCUUGCGGUUC